AAACCUGCAGUGGUUUAUGAAAUUCAGACAACCAGAAUGUAAAACUAAUGCAGAACUUUUACAAUGUUCAGAUGCUUCAGUCUUCUGCUGCUGCUGUUUUGCUUCAUCUAUCAGAGCGGAGCCCCGCCUGUAGGAACCAGCACUAUAUCUGUGUCAGGAAAAAAGAGAGACAACGUCACACUGCCAUGUCAAUUUGAGACCAAAAAGAUUUCUGAUAUUAGUUUAAACAAUGGGUCAGAAAACAUCCCUGUCUGUCAGACUGAAGAAUGUAGUGGACGAGUAUUUAAACAAGGAAACUGUGACGUCGUCUUCAAGGAUCUGAGCUUCAGUGAUGCUGGGAAAUACUUUAUGAGAGUCUAUUACAAUAAUGAUCAGACAAAGCUGAGGCGACAAAUCAGGACGUACCAACUUCAUAUUCAU
Long non-coding RNA from Sinocyclocheilus grahami, 420 nucleotides. RefSeq lists it as uncharacterized. The record is from RefSeq and is a predicted model, not a curated record. The transcript is spliced from 3 exons. NCBI's taxonomy places the organism in Eukaryota, Metazoa, Chordata, Actinopteri, Cypriniformes, Cyprinidae.